Molecule: ribosomal RNA, 613 nt
Filed under: Ramaria flavobrunnescens var. aromatica
Lineage: Eukaryota; Fungi; Basidiomycota; Agaricomycetes; Gomphales; Gomphaceae
Description: eukaryotic LSU rRNA
Rfam family: Eukaryotic large subunit ribosomal RNA
Source: RNAcentral
CUAACAAGGAUUCCCCUAGUAACGGCGAGUGAAGCGGGAAGAGCUCAAAUUUGUAAUCUGGCGGCCUGUGGUCGUCCGAGUUGUAGUCUGGAGAAGCGUUUUCUGCGUCGGACCGUGUACAAGUCCCUUGGAACAGGGCGUCACAGAGGGUGAGAAUCCCGUCUUUGACACGGACUGCCGGUGCUUUGUGAUGCGCUCUCGAAGAGUCGAGUUGUUUGGGAAUGCAGCUCAAAACGGGUGGUAAAUUCCAUCUAAAGCUAAAUAUUGGCGAAAGACCGAUAGCGAACAAGUACCGUGAGGGAAAGAUGAAAAGCACUUUGGAAAGAGAGUUAAACAGUACGUGAAAUUGUUGAAAGGGAAACGUUUGAAGUCAGUCGCGUCUCUCGGGACUCAGCCUUGCCUUUUCGCUUGGUGUACUUCCUGGGAUGACGGGCCAGCAUCGAUUUCGACCGUCGGAGAAGGGCCUUGGGAAUGUGGCACCUUCGGGUGUGUUAUAGCCCUUGGUCGCAUGCGACGGUUGGGAUCGAGGACCGCAGCACGCCGUUUAUCGGCCGGGGUUCGCCCACGUACCGUGCUUAGGAUGCUGGCGUAAUGGCUUUAAGCGACCCGUCUU